This 212-nucleotide long non-coding RNA is filed under the name Panax ginseng (ginseng). RNAcentral describes it as "long non-coding RNA (PGIN_LNC001002)". Lineage: Eukaryota; Viridiplantae; Streptophyta; Magnoliopsida; Apiales; Araliaceae. The record is from RNAcentral.
CCAUUUUUAUCAUCUAUUCAACACCAUCCAAUAACUUUCACCAUAGGUAACACCUAAAGAUUUAAGCAUGACACCAUUUAUCGGCACGUGUAUAUUUGUUUGUGUGCUCAAGUGUACGUAAUUUUAGACAUUACCACCUCAGGUGAUAGUAGCCUAAGCUAAUUAUGUGCAUAAACAAGAAAUAUGUUCCGUCUUCUUGUUACACAUUAAAG